This is a long non-coding RNA of Manis pentadactyla (Chinese pangolin), 1741 nucleotides long. RefSeq lists it as uncharacterized. The transcript is spliced from 3 exons. The record is from RefSeq and is a predicted model, not a curated record. Lineage: Eukaryota; Metazoa; Chordata; Mammalia; Pholidota; Manidae.
UGGGACCCCCUGGCUAAAGACCGGGUCCCCUCUUCCCCAAGCGGCGAGUCAUCCCCCCCUGCUCCCCUCCCGCCCCCCCUCCACCUGCCACCCCCCGGCCUCGAAGAUCUGAGAGGCACCGAAUGGGAGGUGUUUGGAAGUGGACAGCCAUCGCCCUUCUGCCCCAGCGCCGGCACCAGCACGCUUCUCCAUCGCUAGACCCUUCCCUUGGCGCCUCGCUGCCUCCUUCAGACUGCUCUUUGCCCUCCCUCAUUAAACUUGGUUUCUGUGCGAAUGUGAUUUGAAUUAACUCUUGGGAGAAAAAUCACAGAAACCAGGAAAGGGGGGCCAUGGGGAGGGGGACAGUGAGUCAUAUUUCCAUGUGUAUUUUUCAAACUUUCCAAUGGGAGUUUGGAAAACAACACCCUUUGGGUUGCCAGCUUGGCCCUCCCUCUCCAGGGGUUCCUCAUUUGGUUUCUAUAGGUCUUAUCUUAAUGGCUGUGCCCAGUCCGCCCUUAGGGUCUGCUUUGUUUCCUGCGGUCCCCUACCCAUCUCCCUCUGGGCUAGCCUCAUGCUGUCAUAGGGGCACAAAGAAGUCCCUGCUAUCUCUAGUCCUUGCUCUGGUGUCACUGCACAAUGUCAGACCCUUCCAUCUACCCCCAUUUCAGGGUGGACCCACGGGGCCUGCAGCCAGUCUGGCCGGCCCUCCAGCCCUCUGGCCCUUGAGAACCUGUCAGCACCAGGCAGCCUGGGCUCCAUGAACUGGAGCUCCCCCCUCUCUGCCCCAGCAGCUUUCUCUUGUGCCCUUCCAUCUGUUUCUGCAUCCCAAUUUCCAGAGGGCCUGUGGCUGGGUGGUAAGAACCUAUCUUUCCCCAGGGAGAAGGCCUGCAGAGCAAAGAGCAGAGAUGAUACUCUGAGGAGGCUGGUAAAGAAGAAAACCUACUGUGUGUCCCUCCUGUAUGCUAGACACAUCUUGUGCCCUGAGAAGGGGUAUCAGGAUCCCCAUUUUGCAUUUGGAAACCGAGGCUCAGCCAGCUGAAUGGAUGGAAACCUUGAGGGUGCUGGAGGGGGAGAUGUGGAGGACAGCCACACCCCUGGCCAACUCCUUGCAGGCCCUGGGCCCUUGCACCCUCCCCAAAAGCUCCAUCUGCUUCCUUGGGGUCCUAGACUAACUGUCCCUCCCUGCCUCCAGCUUCUGACUAAUCCUUCCUGGCGGCAGUUGCCUGUCCAGCCCCACUGUGCCUAUGCCAGCGACAGCCCACAUCACAUGGGCCACAUCUGGCUGCAUUUGAGCACAUCUUCCCCUCCAUUGUCCCUCCUCUUCUCUACCCAGGGCCCAGAGCAGGGAGUGUACCCCUGAGGACCCCUCCUCUCUGGGUCCAUCAGCACGCCCACCCCUGCCCCUUUACAGCCUCUAACAGAGUCAUUCCUUUGCCUCCUCUCAGCCUCCUCGUCCCCCUUCCCAGCCUCCAUCUGCUGGACAUCUUGACUCCAUUCUUCAGCAACCCUUCCUUCCCUGUAUCCUGACUCUUCGGACCACCCUCCUUCCCAGCCCCUACUGAACAGCUGAUUGGGAAAGGUGCAUCUCGCAAGUGCAUUUGGAAGGAAGAGUCAUGGAGAGAGGCCCAGGAUGGGACACGGAGGAGGGCUCCUCUCCAAAGGCAUGGUCGUCAAGACAACUGCUCCUUCCACUGCCCAAACCACCUCUCAGACUCAACCACUAUAUUCUGAUACGACUCAUUAAAUGCUUCAGCUCCCGGUC